This 275-nucleotide ribosomal RNA is filed under the name uncultured bacterium. RNAcentral describes it as "partial 16S ribosomal RNA". It matches the Rfam family "Bacterial small subunit ribosomal RNA", at positions 338 to 606 of the family's 1533-position model. The record is from RNAcentral.
CCUACGGGUGGCUGCAGUCGAGAAUUUUUCUCAAUGGGGGAAACCCUGAAGGAGCGACGCCGCGUGGAGGAUGAAGGUCUUCGGAUUGUAAACUCCUGUCAUUUGGGAACAAUUGUCACCGAUUAACUGUCGGGGGCUUGAUAGUACCAGAAGAGGAAGAGACGGCUAACUCUGUGCCAGCAGCCGCGGUAAUACAGAGGUCUCAAGCGUUGUUCGGAUUCAUUGGGCGUAAAGGGUGCGUAGGUGGCGGGGUAAGUCUGGUGUGAAAUCUCGGG